RNAcentral lists this long non-coding RNA (647 nucleotides) under Vulpes vulpes (red fox). RNAcentral describes it as "lncRNA (ENSVVUG00000006287.1)". The record is from RNAcentral. Lineage: Eukaryota; Metazoa; Chordata; Mammalia; Carnivora; Canidae.
CUUGGAAUCAGGAGGGAUGGGGUGGGACAGUUUUAAAGCAAAGCAGUGAAGGCAAAAUAACUUAAGUCCAUAAGGAAAUCUCCUCAAGGAUUGGUUCCCCUUCCUUUUACCCUGCUAGCUGUAACUGGUACAUGGGCUCUGAUAGGAGCAUGCAUCAGAUCUUUAUACAUUCCUGAUAGAAGGCCAGGAAUAAAUGAACAAGCACAUCCACUUUUUGAACAGCGUUGUUGUGCCAGGCAUUGUGCUGGACCUGCUGUCUCAGGUUUCACAUCAAGCCUGUGCCCAGGAAGGUCCUCAAUAUGCAGAUGAAGAAACAAACAUGGAAAGAAGAUCAGCCUAUUUAGCCUUCACUUGGAAUGUUUUGUGGAAAAGUUGAAAAGCCCAGAGUGGUGACAAGCUGCGCUCCAUCUGUAUGGUUCUCAACUGCAGAAAUGCCUGAGCCAACAGAACCAGGAAGGCCUGGUUCUCUUCCUUCUUGUCCUGGUCCUGGAGCAAAGUGGGCACACAGCAGCUAUCUCCUGAACCACUGCCCAGUUGCCAGCUGCAAGUCCUAGCUCCAAAGAAGUAAAUGUCCACAGCACAAAGCCAGAAGAAUCUCUGAAGGGCAAUUAUAGCAGACAAUAAAAGGAGCCAGUAUUCUGAAGCCA